GGAUGCAGAGAAGGAUGCAGGGAGCCAGGAGGGCUGCAGGGAUACAGCGAGGAUGCAACGGGACAUCUCUGCCCCAAGGCGGAGCUUCCCAGAGGGUUCCCCCCAUCACUGUAGCAGGAUGCAGAAGCACCAGGACAAGACAAGCCAGGGGUGGCAGGAGACAGGGAUAGAGGCUCACUGGGUCUACAGCUGAGCCCACAACCCAGGGGGAAAGAGAGCGCGCGCAAGAGAGGAAAAUACUGCAGUGUCCCUACAGAGUUUGUUCCAGUUUGCUCCCUCCGUGGCGGGACACAGACACUGUAAAAGAGGAAGACUGGAAAUGA
Molecule: long non-coding RNA, 323 nt
Organism: Pezoporus flaviventris
Lineage: Eukaryota; Metazoa; Chordata; Aves; Psittaciformes; Psittacidae
Exons: 2
Source: RefSeq, a predicted model, not a curated record